Molecule: long non-coding RNA, 310 nt
Organism: Pseudophryne corroboree (corroboree frog)
Lineage: Eukaryota; Metazoa; Chordata; Amphibia; Anura; Myobatrachidae
Exons: 3
Source: RefSeq, a predicted model, not a curated record
CCUGUUGCUAGAGCACCACACCACGUCUGCCGGCGGACAUCUGAUGCUUUGCUUUCUUUGAUACUUACGGAUUUACAAGUUUGUAUUUUCAAGUUACAACUGACAACACUUGGAUAGAUGUUGCUCCUGGCUGUACCCAGUAUCUACUGUACAAUUACUCUCAUAGGACUGCAGGUGGAAAUCACAUACUAUGAUUUGUGGCUGUUGGCAAGAAAGACAAAACGUACGAUGUAAACCUUGGAUCAAGUAUGGUCACUCCUGCAUGACCCUGUCAUUUUGUAAAAAAAUUCUGAACCUCCAAGUUUAGAAA